UACGAAGGGGGCUAGCGUUGUUCGGAAUCACUGGGCGUAAAGCGCUCGUAGAGCGGAUCUUUUAAGUCAGGGGUGAAAUCCCGAGGCUCAACCUCGGAACUGCCUUUGAUACUGGGGAUCUCGAGUCCGGGAGAGGUGAGUGGAACUGCGAGUGUAGAGGUGAAAAUUCGUAGAUAUUCGCAAGAACACCAGUGGCGAAAGGCGGCUCACUGGCCCGAUACUGACGCUGAGGCACGAAAAGCGUGGGGGAGCAAAC
RNAcentral lists this ribosomal RNA (256 nucleotides) under uncultured bacterium. RNAcentral's name for it is "partial 16S ribosomal RNA". It matches the Rfam family "Bacterial small subunit ribosomal RNA", at positions 524 to 773 of the family's 1533-position model. The record is from RNAcentral.